UCUGGAGUAAAAGGNUAUGGCUCAACCAUAGUGUGCUCUGGAAACUGUCUGACUNGAGUGCAGAAGGGGAGAGUGGAAUUCCAUGUGUAGCGGUGAAAUGCGUAGAUAUAUGGAGGAACACCAGUGGCGAAAGCGGCUCUCUGGUCUGUCACUGACGCUGAGGCUCGAAAGCGUGGGUAGCGAACAGGAUUAGAUACCCUGGUAGUCCACGCCGUAAACGAUGAGUGCUAGGUGUUAGGCCCUUUCCGGGGCUUAGUGCCGGAGCUAACGCAAUAAGCACUCCGCCUGGGGAGUACGACCGCAAGGUUGAAACUCAAAGGAAUUGACGGGGGCCCGCACAAGCGGUGGAGCAUGUGGUUUAAUUCGAAGCAACGCGAAGAACCUUACCAGGUCUUGACAUCCCGAUGCUAUUCUUAGAGAUAGGAAGUUACUUCGGUACAUCGGAGACAGGUGGUGCAUAGUUGUCGUCAGCUCGUGUCGUGAGAUGUUGGGUUAAGUCCCGCAACGAGCGCAACCCUUAUUGUUAGUUGCCAUCAUUAAGUUGGGCACUCUAGCGAGACUGCCGGUAAUAAACCGGAGGAAGGUGGGGAUGACGUCAAAUCAUCAUGCCCCUUAUGACCUGGGCUACACACGUGCUACAAUGGUCGGUACAACGAGUUGCGAGCCGGUGACGGCAAGCUAAUCUCUGAAAGCCGAUCUCAGUUCGGAUUGGAGGCUGCAACUCGCCUCCAUGAAGUCGGAAUCGCUAGUAAUCGCGGAUCAGCACGCCGCGGUGAAUACGUUCCCGGGCCUUGUACACACCGCCCGUCACACCACGAGAGUUUGUAACACCCGAAGUCGGUGAGGUANCCUUUUAGGG
RNAcentral lists this ribosomal RNA (859 nucleotides) under uncultured bacterium. RNAcentral describes it as "bacterial SSU rRNA". It matches the Rfam family "Bacterial small subunit ribosomal RNA", at positions 588 to 1447 of the family's 1533-position model. The record is from RNAcentral.